CGUAACGCCCAUCGAUGAUAAAAUAAGCAAAUCACUGUUGACACAAUGACGACACAGACAUUUAGCUAUUAAUAAGAGCGGUGUUGCGAUCAACAGAGGUUCAGUUGUACAAGUCUACUCGUGCACGUAGCACGAUUCUGUGGAAAACAGCUCUGUUCGGUUUGAGUUUGGUAAAAACGUGAGAAAGGAAUGAUGCAGAUCGUCUUCAUCGCUUUGGCUGUUUUCACAGUCUCAGUCAACGCCCAGUUCUGCAACUUUGACCACUCGUUCUGUGGUUACACCAAUGACCCCACCAAGCCUAUGACUUGGGAAGAGUUCGAUGGCAACAGUCACGGACACGGACAUGUGCAGAUCGAGGGCAGUGGGCCAUCGGAGGACCACACACAUCAGGGAGGUCACGGUCACGGUUGGUUCGCGCAGUCCGACUGUGCCAAUAACCUGCCGGGGGAUGAAGCCUGGCUGGUCAGUCGCGAACUCACCGGCACCGCUUUCCUGGACUUCUGGUACACCAUGAACGGCGGCGACCUGGACCUGUCCGUGUACAUCCUGCAGGGAGGGCAGGAGAUUCAGGUCUGGAACAGGAUGAACAUCGACAACCCCUUCUGGCUGCGCGGUUCCGUGGCCCUCGACCCCCCAAACUUCUAUCAACCGUACCGGAUCGCCUUCGUGACAGUCCGGGGGGCAGACCCACUGUGCCACGUGGCUAUUGAUGACGUGAACAUCAACAUAGUCGCCGUGCCCCACAACCCCAAGCCGCCAACUGAAGCUCCUACCACUGCCCCUACCGCUGCCCCUACCGAUGCUCCUACCGAAGCCCCUACCGUUGCUGCUACCGAUGCUCCUACCGAUGCUCCCACUGACGCCGCUACCGAUGCUGUUACCGACGCUGGUACCGUCCCACCCCAACCGGACACCGCUGCUCCCACCGACGCCGUGACUGCUGCGUCCCAGCCCGCCACUAAGCCUGUGACCGACAAACCUACCGACGCUGCUACGCAGCCCCACCACAACCACCACCACCAUGCCAACCACCACUACGACUACAACACCUGAACCCACGACCACGAUGCCUACAACCCCCGAACCCACAACCAUCAAAGUGACCACUCCUGAGCCCACGAAGCCUGGCUUGACCAUUCACUGCAACUCUGACAUGAUACAGGUCGUCGUCGACAGGGCCGCCGCUCCCGACCUGAACGAGCAAACCACCCACCUGAUCGACCCUACCUGCGUGGCGACCGCCAACGCGACUCAUCUCGUGUUCGAGACCGCUCUGGACGCCUGCGGCACGACUCGACAGGAGACAGAGAACUACAUCAUCUACUCCAACGCGCUCGACCAGCGAGUCGGCGAGAUCAGCUUCAUCGGAAGUCUCGACUUCCACUGCGCCAUUUCUCGCGAGACCUUGGUGAGCGGCACGUUCACACCCGGUAGCGCCAAAUUUGGCCGGGUGAUCAAUUACGACCCCUUCGCUUUCGGUGAAUACAACAGCGAGAUGAGGUUCUUCCAGGACAACAGUUACCAGCACGAGCUGACGGCGCCUAUCAGCGUGUCCGUGGGAGACUACCUGUACGUGGAGACGCGUCUGCUGUCAUCGGACAAGGACCUGCGCAUCAGGGCCACCAAAUGUGUCGUCACCACCGACACCUCCCCAGACAGCAGCCCCCAGUAUGUCGCCAUCGAUAACAAGUGCCCUGCUUCUACCAGUGUGGUGCAACUCUUGGCCUCCCCAUCAUCCGAGGUUCAGCGGUUCAGCAUGAGGGCCUUCGAGUUCGUUUCUAACCCUAACUCACCGGUCUACCUCCACUGUUACCUGCUUGUCUGCUCCGCUGCUCCCGGCAGCCCUUGCGAGGAUACCUGCGCGAGAUCCGGCAAGGCACGACGGGAAGCUCCGGCUCUCGGCUCUGUUGUGCGCAUGUCGGCAGAACUGCCUGUGAAGAACACCAAGCUCUUCAGUCCUGCAGCAGCCGCCAUCGCGGGAGCGGUGGGAGUCAUCGCGCUCGUCGGAACAGCCCUUGUUGUUCGCCGUUACCGAAAGAGCCGUCACCCCACCGACGAGAUCGACAUGUAAAAGAGAUGUUAAAAAACGCUACAAUUACGCCCCCCUUGCAACUGACGAUUUUGUUCUGUAAUCAUUCGUGAUAGAAAAUUCCUAAUUCUGCUUCUGCCGUUGUCGCCGCACCAGCCCAUCAGGAUCUGACAUUUGUUUAACAAGUGUCGUUCAUUCAAUAAAGUAGUGACAACGAACCUGUGUCCUCAGAGACGUCAUCUUUCUUAUGGAGAUUGUAUAAUAAAAUAUCUACUCGUUUCCAUUCUA
This is an RNA transcript of Branchiostoma belcheri (Belcher's lancelet), 2317 nucleotides long. It is a transcript of the gene named ZP domain-containing protein-like, with no coding region annotated. The record is from RefSeq and is a predicted model, not a curated record. NCBI's taxonomy places the organism in Eukaryota, Metazoa, Chordata, Leptocardii, Amphioxiformes, Branchiostomatidae. The transcript has 9 exons.